GACGAACGCUGGCGGCGUGCUUAACACAUGCAAGUCGAACGGAAAGGCCCUGCUUUUGUGGGGUGCUCGAGUGGCGAACGGGUGAGUAACACGUGAGUAACCUGCCCUUGACUUUGGGAUAACUUCAGGAAACUGGGGCUAAUACCGGAUAGGAGCUCCUGCUGCAUGGUGGGGGUUGGAAAGUUUCGGCGGUUGGGGAUGGACUCGCGGCUUAUCAGCUUGUUGGUGUGGUAGUGGCUUACGAAGGCUUUGACGGGUAGCCGGCCUGAGAGGGUGACCGGCCACAUUGGGACUGGGAUACGGCCCCGGCCCCUACGGGAGGCAGCAGUGGGGGUUAUUGCACUAUGGGCGGAAGCCUGAUCCAGCACCGCCGCGUGCGGGAUGACGGCCUUCGGGUUGUAAUCCGCUUUCGCCUGUGCCGAAGCGUGAGUGACGGUAAUGGGUAAAGAAGCACCGGCCAACUACGUG
This 468-nucleotide ribosomal RNA is filed under the name uncultured bacterium. Its description in RNAcentral is "partial 16S ribosomal RNA". It matches the Rfam family "Bacterial small subunit ribosomal RNA", at positions 28 to 507 of the family's 1533-position model. The record is from RNAcentral.